AGAGUUUGAUCAUGGCUCAGGACGAACGCUGGCGGCGCGCCUAACACAUGCAAGUCGAACGGGAUCUUUUAGAGAGCUUGCUCUCUGGCUGAUCUAGUGGCGGACGGGUGAGUAACACGUGAGCAACCUGCCAAGGAGUGGGGGAUAACGUCUGGAAACGGACGCUAAUACCGCAUAAUGUGCAGGGAUGGCAUCAUCCUUGUACCAAAGGAGAAAUCCGCUUUUUGAUGGGCUCGCGCCCGAUUAGAUAGUUGGUGAGGUAAUGGCUCACCAAGUCUGCGAUCGGUAGCCGGACUGAGAGGUUGAACGGCCACAUUGGGACUGAGACACGGCCCAGACUCCUACGGGAGGCAGCAGUGGGGGAUAUUGCACAAUGGGGGAAACCCUGAUGCAGCGACGCCGCGUGAGUGAAGACGGCCUUCGGGUUGUAAAGCUCUGUGGACAGGGACGAUAAUGACGGUACCUGUCUAGAAAGCCACGGCUAACUACGUGCCAGCAGCCGCGGUAAUACGUAGGUGGCAAGCGUUGUCCGGAAUUACUGG
RNAcentral lists this ribosomal RNA (542 nucleotides) under uncultured Clostridiaceae bacterium. Its description in RNAcentral is "bacterial SSU rRNA". It matches the Rfam family "Bacterial small subunit ribosomal RNA", at positions 8 to 557 of the family's 1533-position model. Lineage: Bacteria; Bacillati; Bacillota; Clostridia; Eubacteriales; Clostridiaceae. The record is from RNAcentral.